AUGUGUGAGUUUGACAGAUGGGACAGUGGGAAAAUCCGCUUAGCAACUUUCUGCUGAUGGAGGUUCAUUGAGUAAAGCCCCACACUUUCUCAUUCAAUCACCGCAGCGAGGCCUCGCACGCUUCUGAUCAACUUUAUCAGAUACAGUUUCAAGAUCAGGGACAUGUCUGCCGAAAAGAAGCCCAAAAAGAAGAAGCCCGAGUCGACUCCAGCAGAGACCAACGGGACCGAAGCCAAACCCAAAAAGACCAAGAGCAAGAAGAGCAGUGAUCUGCCGGCCGAGAGCAGUUCGGUCACUCAGAAUGGAGAGAAGGUGAAGAAGAAGAAACUGGAGAAGGACAAAGAAUCAACAGAGAAGGAGAAGGAAAUCAAAAAGAAAGCGAAAAGUGCUCCAAAGAAGAAGAAGAGUUCUACAGAUGAUGACGAUGAUGAAGAAGGGCAUGAUGAAGAGACCACUCCUCAGAAGAAGACAAAGAAAAAAACUUCAAAAGAAAGUUCUGAUGGAAAGGAAAAAGAUAAGAAGUCCAAAGCAAAAGAUGUCAAAGAGGACGCAGACAGUAAAGGAAAGUCUAAAGCCAAGAAGAAGGAACCAGCCUCCAUGUUUCAGAUCAACGGAGACAAGCCUGAAACCAAGAGUAAGAAGAAAGCAGCUGCUAAAUCUGAGAGUGAAGAGGAGAGCGAACCAGAAACCAAAACCAGCAAGACGAAGAAGAAGAGCAGCUCAAACCCAGCGUGCAUGUUUCAGACAGGAGGGGACAAAGACAAGGACAAGGACAAAAAGACAAAAAAGACCAAAACUCCUGCUAAAGCAGAAGAGACUGAAGACUCUGAUUCAGAAGUGACAAAGAAGAAGAAAAAGGGCAAAGGGAAAAAAGGAAAGAAGGAGGAGCGAGCACCUUCUCCUCCCAUCGAGUUUGACAAUCUGGAGGAGUUCGUUCUUCAGCCUGUACAACAAGGCGUCACGGUAAAGUGCAAAGUGACCCGUGACAAGAGAGGGAUGGACCGAGGCCUUUACCCAACAUACUACCUGCACCUGGACGACGAGAAGAAAGUAUUUUUGUUAGCGGGAAGGAAAAGGAAAAAAAGCACAACCUCAAACUACUUGAUCUCCAUAGACCCGACCGACCUCUCCAGAGGAGGAGAAAACUUCAUUGGGAAGCUGAGGUCAAAUCUGAUGGGAACCAAGUUCACGGUGUUUGAUAAUGCACUGCAUCCGGACAGAGCUCUGCCGGACAUGUCUAACGCACGGCAGGAGUUAGCAGCUAUUAUCUAUGAAACAAAUGUUUUGGGCAUGAAAGGACCAAGGCGAAUGAUUGUAAUUAUUCCUGGCAUGAACAAAGAUGGAGAACGAGUCCCUAUGCGGCCACGUAGUCUGAAUCAACUGCUUCCCAACAGGAAAAUGAUGGCCUCCUCAUUAGACACCAGAACAGAAAUAUGGAGAACUUGAUAGAGCUGCGCAAUAAGACGCCGGUGUGGAAUGAAGAAACGGCGUCACACGUGUUAAACUUCAACGGCAGAGUCACACAGGCCUCCAUCAAAAACUUCCAGAUUGUGCAUAACAAAGACCAGGACUAUAUAGUGAUGCAGUUUGGGAGAGUAGCAGACGAUGCCUUCACUCUGGACUAUAGGUAUCCUCUGUGUGCUGUACAAGCCUUUGCUAUCGCUCUCUCCAGCUUUGAUGGCAAAAUGGCCUGCGAGUAAAAGUGUAAAGACGUCCGUGAUUUUGUCAAAUGCAAAAAAUGGGAAAUGUUCUCAAUCAGCAUCAGCACAAUUCACGACGAGAGGACCAAAACCCAUAAAUCUGUAAGAUAAAGCCACCAUUGCUAGUGGGGUUGCAUGAUUUUACAUGCCAUAGAGAGAUCUGCUGGUGAUACCAGCUUUGGCUUAAAAUAAGUAAUGGUUGUACAGUGGAUGUACUGAGAAGGGAGGAAGUGUUUUGAGGUGUUUGAUUUUGAGUUUGAAAGAUGUAAAUGACCCCUGGUGGUGAGGAGGUCAUGCUAGAUGUGUCCUGUGUUUGAAAAGGGCAAAAGAAACAAUGGAUUUAUUUAAUGGUUUUAUUGUUAUGCAUACCAUGCAAUUAGGAAAAAUGUGUUUUAACAUUGUCUGCUUUACAUUUUAGUAAACCCGGUUAAAAUUGGUGUUAUCUAAUCCUAGUAACAUAAAUAAAAAUAAAAAAACUAGUUCACCCAAAAUUGCUGAAAAUUUUCUCACCAUCAGAACAUUCAAGAUGAGUUGAUUUGGAGAAAUGUAGCAUUGUAUCACUUGCUCACCAUUGGAUCCUCUGCAGUGAAUGGGUGCCGUCAGAAUGAGAGUCCAAACAUCUGAUAAUAACAUGACAAUAAUCCACAAGUAAUAAUCAAUACCACUCCAGUUCAUCAUUUAAUGACUGUGUGUUUGUAAGAAACAAAUCUUUUAUUAGGGAGUUUUAAUUUUUUUAAAUAAAAACUCUUGUCCAAAAUCCAUAAUCCAUAAUAAAGUUAAAGAAGUUAGAACCAUCUUAAUGAUAGAUUUGUUUUUUUAUAAACACAGCUUUUGGCAUCACAAGAUGUUAACUGAGUGCUGUGGAUCAUUUGUGGAUUAUUGUGAUGUUUUUAUCAGCUGUUUGGACUCUCAUUCUGACGGCACCCAUUCACUGCAGAGGAUCAAUUCCUGAGCAAGUGAUGUAAUCCUUAAUCUCUCCAAAACUUUUCCCAUGAAGAGACAAACCUCUAAAUCUUGGAUGGCUUGAGCACUCUGGGUGAGUACAUUUUUAGAAAAUGUUAAUUUUUGGGUGAACUAUUCCUUUUAAAAAGGGGAAAAAACAUGUAUCUGUAUUAUUGGUGUUUUGUGUGAGUAACAGUGUAAGAAUGCUUAUCUGAGAGCAAGCGAGAAAGAGGGCCCAAGAUUAAAGCAAGGUCCAGGGUUGUCAAAGCUGAUAGUAAAUUUCUGAUUUUUGCACAUGAAAUAUAAUUGACUGAUGCUUGGAGUAGGCUAUGUCAAACAUUUCAACCGCUUGUGCAGUUUGCUUACUCAAGCAAAGAUGAUCUGGAAUACUGAGUGUCAAUACAGGAAUACCAAAUCACUUGAUGCAUAUGUGAACACCUGAUGUUUGGUGUUUAAUUCUUUUGUUUUGCCUUGUACGUGUAAUUGUAGUUUGUUAUUUGUGUAACAUAAGAUAUUUGAUAAAAACCCAUAACUGUCUUAAUGCACACAGACAAAAGUCAUUAGUCAUGUCAUUCCAUUUUUACCUAAUGCAAAUAUAAAUGUAGGAAGACAAAUUUGAAAUUUACUUUGAAAUGAAAUAAGUGUUUGUAAAAAUGUGCUUCGUUUAAGAGUUUCAUUUCUGGGUGUUUGAUGGAUGUGUGAAAGGUUUUGCUUUUGAGAAUGCAGGUUGCCUAAAGUCAAUAUGAAAUAAAAAUGUACUUCCUUGCA
This is an RNA transcript of Carassius gibelio (silver crucian carp), 3410 nucleotides long. It is a transcript of the gene named tubby-related protein 1-like, with no coding region annotated. The transcript is spliced from 13 exons. NCBI's taxonomy places the organism in Eukaryota, Metazoa, Chordata, Actinopteri, Cypriniformes, Cyprinidae. The record is from RefSeq and is a predicted model, not a curated record.